RNA transcript from Myxocyprinus asiaticus (Chinese sucker), 5187 nucleotides. It is a transcript of the gene named zinc finger, SWIM-type containing 7, with no coding region annotated. NCBI's taxonomy places the organism in Eukaryota, Metazoa, Chordata, Actinopteri, Cypriniformes, Catostomidae. The transcript has 10 exons. The record is from RefSeq and is a predicted model, not a curated record.
UCCAACAACUCCAUUCGAACGUCAAACGACAUCCGGUGACGCGGGAAACACGAACAAAAUGUAAACAUGAAAUUUCAUCGUGGUGCUUCUCGAAUCGUCGUGUAGUCUUUGCUAAUAUUAGCCUGAACAGGUCUGUGAUGGGCUCAUCUUUACUUCCGGUUGCUCAGCAGCUUUUGAAAGACCUUCAGCGAGCCUACACAGAGACAAACCAGAUACCAGAUGACCUACUAAUAGCGUUGCGGUUUGUGUUUGGCUCAUGUGCUCUGCAGGCAUUGGACUUGGUGGACCAGCGGUCUGUCACAUGUGUGUCCUCACCCAGCGGUCGAAAGGCUUUUCAGGUAUUAGGCGGAUCAGGCCGACUGUACACUUGCUUCACAUCCUGUCAGUAUUGCCCGUGCCCCGCCUUCUCUUUCUCUGUGCUCAGGAGAAAUGAGAGUCUGAUGUGUAAGCACCUCCUGGCUGCCUGCCUGAGUCAGGCCAUGGGUUUGUGCCAACAAGAGCAGGUCUCAGAUCAGCAGAUGACCCACAUUCUCUCAGGGCAAACUGAGGCCAGCACAUAAAUAGCUGAUCCUGGAAUAGAGAGGUUCGGCACUCUGGACUGCAUCACAACAACAAACAAUAAGACCCUGCUCUCUUAACUACUUACAAAAAACAAAGUACUCAUAUCGAUAAAGGAAGAAAACGUCAGCUUGUACAGUGCAGUACAGAUUCGUCUCCAUUGGAAUGUCCAAGCAGAAGAAAGAAAGUCAGACACAUCUGGGUUGGCAUGAGGGUCACCCCUUUGAUGGGACUGACUGCACACCACUGACAGACAGACCACACAGUAGUUCAUGUUCAGAAGUUAAGAAGCGCUGUCCUAAAAAUUAACUAAUUGAUUAAAGAUCAAUAGGUUGACCUGUAAUGUGUUACUGGUCUAUCAAUCCACUAUGCUGUCACCUUUAAGGAAAGGUCAUUCAAUGUUCAAUAAACACGCUUAAAGAUGAUAAAUAAAUGAGAAUAAAAUAAACUGCCGCUUUCACACAUACAGCCUUUUCUGGAAAACUAACGACAAUUAACGCAGCUGUGGUAGGUUUUUUUUUUUUUAUUACUAAUUCCAGGUCAAUAUUACACAAAGAAUAAUGUAAUAAAUUAACACUAAAUAUGUACAAAUUGACAAUAUCAAAGAAGUUUGCUAGAUUUACACAGCUUAAUAAAUUGGAAAUGUGUCAUCAUAGUCUGUGAAAAAGGUCUGUUGGAACACCCGGUAUGGUGAAUGUAGAAUAGCAAGUACCGCGUUACAGGUAAAAUAGCCAAUCACUUUUUAGAUACAGACAUCAACUGUCAGUUAACUCCAGAACGUGCAUGCGCAUUAGCUGGACCAGCCUGAAAAUUAUGAGCUAAACGAGCACAUUGCCUUGAAACGGACUUUGAUUGCAUCAUGCAAAAGCAACAGUCUUGGUUACUGACACUAUUGUAGAAAUACAGCCAUCAUUUCUUUAUUAUAAAACCAAAAGUGUCCUGUGGGUGUGGGGUCAGGGGGUGUUGAAACAGAAAUAAAAUGAGUUGCAUUCGGCUGGUCGUGUUAUCCCAACAUAUUUUACAUGAACUUUAUGUAAAAUGAAACAGCUUUCAUUAGACUACUGAAAUUACUAGAUUCCUCAUUUAAUUGUGGUGUACAUGGUUUAAACAUAUUUUACAGAAGUACUAUUCAUUAAAACUUUUUUAAUGAGGAAAGAAAUUACAGAGAGCAUUUUGCAGUGUUUAAUUUCUUCACCACUAAAGCGCCACCAAAUAGAAUUGCAAAAAUAUCAACUGUGUGUUAUUGGUCAGACACAGAGAUAGUCCCGCCCAAAAUAUAUGCCAUUGGUUUAUGCCAUUGGUGUGCAUGUAAAUGCACUGAUUGUUUGUUUACAUGCACACCAAUAUGCUAUUAACUACCAAAAAUCAUUGUAUUAAAAAAUGUUGACAAUGCAAGAAAAUUGCGUUUACAUUAGUUCUGAAAUCUUCAGAUUAUUCUUUACUUUUGAUGUCAAAAUUGUAACACAACAAUUGCAUACAUUGAAUAAGCCGGUAAGAACACCGGUAAAUGUGUUUACAUGCAACGCGAAGUUGGGGUAAUGGGCAAAAAUCUACCUGUGUUGAUCAGUUUAUGCUUAGACAGUUUAUGACCUUACCCGAUAAAGGAAAACCGUUUAAGGCGUUUACAUGCCUUUACAUGUUGUCAGUUUAUUAAGCAUAAUCGGUGUAAGAACGUGCAUAUAAACGUGCUAAUUGUUGUUAUGUCAAGCUGGUCUAAAUACCUAAACAAACUGUAAAAAAAGUUUUGAUAGCACCACAGAGCCACAGUGUUUACACUUUUCAGGGGAAUCAACCUACAAAAGGCUUAUGUAUUGUUGGCUCUCUGUACAUUAAGCUGGGAUAGGAGAAAGUAUUUUAACAUAAAAAAAUGCUACACUUUUUACAGUAUAGUAAAUGAGAGUGUGACAGGGAGGAGGGUGGGGCCGUGCCGUGAGGACACACGCAUGGCCCUGAAUCGGGCUAAUCAGCCGGGAGGGGAAUAAAGACGAGCCGGAGGUGCCAGUUCAAGAGAAAGAGAGAACUUCAUGCUCAGUGUGUCAAUGUGUUUGUGUUUAAGCUGAUUUGAGGUCAUUUAUGUUAUUAAAACUUUACGUUGACUGUUCAGCUGGUUCCCGCCUCCUCCAUGACCACCGUUACAUUGGUGCCGAAACCCGGGAAGGAGGAGGGAUGCGCUGUCGUGGAGUCCUCGCCACUGCCAUCUGCCAUGGGAGCAGCCGCGGCCGUCUACCUGGGGAUGGAGGGGUCGCCGCCGAGAGUUGGAGGAACGGCUGUUGUCCACCGAGAAAGGGCAGGAGCCUUUCCGUCCGCCAGGGGAGGAGCGAGCUGUGGUCCACCAGAGGUCAGAGGAGUGGCUGAGGACCAGGCGACUGUGUGUCCGGGGAUCAGCGAGCCAGUUUUCACUCUCUCUCCUCUCGCUCCCGCUCGCCCAUUCCCUCUCCCCUCUCCCUCCCCUCAUCUCUCCCCAGGUUCCCAGGAGGCGGAAUGGCCGGAAGGGCAGCGUCUCCCCUCCAGAGAUGGGGAGUAGGCCAGUGCAGAUGGCGCCCUGGCCUGAAUCAGGUGGGGGAGGAGUGUGACGAGCUCUGAGUCAACUAAUCAGCGGGAGAGAGAGAUAAAGGGAAGCUGGAGAUGCCAGUUCGAGAGAGAGAGAGAAAGACGGCCGCUGUGUGUGUGUGUGUCUAUGUGUUUGUGUUUACAUUGAUUUAAGCUAAUUUAUAUUAUUAAAAUUUACGUUGACUGUUCAGCCGGUUCCCGCCUCCUCCUUGCCCACCUUUACCCGUUACAUUGGUGCCGAAACCCAGGAAGGAGGAGGGAUGCACUGUCACGGAGUCCUCGCCACUGCCAUUCGCCAGGGGAGCAGCCGAGGCCGUCUGCCUGGGGACGGAGGGGUCACUGGCAGCCGCAGAGAGUUGGAGGAACUGCUGUCGUUCGCUGAGAAAGGGGAGGAGCCGUUCCAUCCACCAGGGGUGGAGCGAGCUGUCAUCCACCAGAGGUCGGAGAAGUGGCUGAGGACCAGGCGAUGGUGUGGCCGGGGACCGGCGAGCCAGUUUUCUCUCUCUCCUCUCUCUCUCUCUCUCUGUCGCUCCACCUCGCUCUUUCCCUCUCCCCUUUCCCUCCUGUUGUCUCUCCCAGGGCUCCAGAAAGGUAGGGAAGACCUGCUGGCAGGCACGGCUGGAAGGGCAACACCCCCUCUCCAGGAAGGGAGGGGAGUACGUCAUGCCGGGUCUAACGGCCCAACAACUUUGAAAACAAAUGUUUAUAUAUGCUUAAAUAUGUGGGCCCCAGAGCUUAUACAAAGCCCCCUCAACAGGGCCCCGUGACUAUGAGGGCCCCCAGCCCUCUUAUAGGAGCAUUUUGUCAUCCUGUUUCUAAUUACAUUUUUUGAGCAGAUCUUUAACCUUAUAACGCCACACAUUUCAUAUUAGAUACAUGACUUUCUAAAGCCUCUACAUCAUCAUCGCGAUGUGUAUGAGAUGUCUACUGUCUCCUGGUGAAAGUUUCCAUGCUCUUCUGGAAGUAGAAGACCUUGUUAUAUUAUAAAAAUAGGUUUAAACAGGUUUAAAAAAUAUAAUUUUCGGACUAUUAUUUCAUAUGUUAGGCUUUAUAUGGUUAAGCUUUAUUCUUUGUAUAAAAGGGCUGUCGAACAAAAACUGUAUUAUACUAUUCAUUGCUAUAACUGCAUGUUUGCCCUACAUUACAAAAAAUAACUUUGCUUAGGUGAUUGGGGAAAAGAAAAUAUUGAUAUUUUAAUUUGUGUGGUUCAAAAGUUCUGAUUGAACUAGAUAUGUUAAGUUUGUCAAGACAAACUAUAAUGUUGGUCUGACAAAACCUUGUCUGAAAGUUUAAAAUAGUUUGAAAUGCUUGAAGUUAGAAAUGUUUGCAGGUUUUACAGUAAGAAAGAAUGAAAGAAGAGAGCAUCUUAAAGGGCUUGUGUGUAAGUUUUGACAGCUGAAGUUUGAAAUCAUGAACAUUCCAAAAAUCGUAGCUCAUUUUAACAUUCUGUCAAUGUAAUGUAGUUUAUGAGAUUUUGAAAAGGCUUAAAUUAUGCCUUUGCAGGGCUUUUCAAUGGAAGAAUAAUAAUGGUAGCCAAGCUGUAGGGUCAUUCCAAACAGAAUUUCAUCAAAAGUUACCAAAUGACCACUGGUUUUGAGCCCCACACCUUUCAGCCAUUCAAGCUCUCACAAUGGAGGGUAAAGUCUUUUGAAGGAAACAGUGUGUGGGGAUGAUCACUUCUGAACAGAAAGCACCCUAUCAUUCAGAUGAGUUGAAAAGAUAGCUGUUUCUCACCCACACCUAUUAUAUCAAAGUCAUGCACAUCUGUGAUGGCAUGAGGGUGAGGAAAUAAUAAGAGAAUUUUCAUUUUUGGGUGAACUAUCACUUUAAAGUGUUUGAUGAAGUUAAAAUAUGUAAUAAUUUAUUUUGGCCCCUGUAAAUAUGUGCAUUUUGUAUGCAUAAUUGUAGUAUUUACAUUGAGUUUACAUUAUCUAUGACAAACGUUAAAAUGGUACUGUCUGUUUACGAACAGUGGCUGUUAUUUCUUUACCACAUCUGUACAGUGUGUUUGAAUUAAUCUGACUGUAAAUAACAGAACAGGAAUUAAAAGAGACUUAAAUCAAUGAAACAGAUUGUGUA